RNAcentral lists this ribosomal RNA (403 nucleotides) under uncultured bacterium. RNAcentral describes it as "partial 16S ribosomal RNA". It matches the Rfam family "Bacterial small subunit ribosomal RNA", at positions 30 to 526 of the family's 1533-position model. The record is from RNAcentral.
AUUGAACGCUGGCGGCAGGCCUAACACAUGCAAGUCGAGCGAGCGGCGGACGGGUGAGUAAUGUAUGGGGACUGCCCGAUAGAGGGGGAUAACUACUGGAAACGGUGGCUAAUACCGCAUACUAUCGGAUAACCCAUAUGGGAUUAGCUAGUAGGUGGGGUAAAGGCUCACCUAGGCGACGAUCUCUAGCUGGUCGGAGAGGAUGAUUCGCAACACGGGGACUGAGACACGGCCCGGACGCCUACGGAGGCAGCAGUGGGGAAUAUUGCACAAGGGGCGCAAGCCUGAUGCAGCCAUGCCGCGUGUAUGAAGAAGGCCUUAGGGUUGUAAAGUACUUUCAGCGGGGAGGCGUUACCCGAAGAAUAAGCACCGGCUAACUCCGUGCCAGCCGCCGCGGUAAUAC